This 1094-nucleotide long non-coding RNA is filed under the name Cricetulus griseus (Chinese hamster). Its description in RNAcentral is "lncRNA (ENSCGRG00015041755.1)". Lineage: Eukaryota; Metazoa; Chordata; Mammalia; Rodentia; Cricetidae. The record is from RNAcentral.
CGCAGCGCGUCGCUCAGGCCUGGACCUUGCCAAGAGCGGAAUAGGAGAAAAGGCCGGUUGAAGUUGAAGAGGAGGCUAGCGGGGCUCGAGCGCGCGCCUGCGCACGAAAGCGAGCACGCGCGGGCGUUGUGGACGGUUCCUGGGCAACCGCCCCUCCUGCUCCGGUAGCACGCGCCCCCUCCUCAGGUCCCGCCCUUUCCCAGCCCCUGGGGUCACGUGAGAGGCCGCUGUCCUCCCCCCCCUGUCCCCCGACCUCCUCUUAGGACUAGGGAGCUCUUAGGAGUAGGGAGCUCUGUUGCAGGAAUCUGGAAAGGUUCCGUGCUUUGUGUGUUCUGGUGCAACCGGCGCGAGCUGUCACCGACCCCUGCCGCCGCGGGAAGGAGUUAUUUUUUUUGCAGAGUAAAAGCACCAGCGCCCCGUGUAGCAAACGUGUUCACAUCAUCAAGGGGAACAAAGUCUGGGGCUGAGCACACGCCUGCACCGAGUAGGUUCCGAGGCCAGCUCCCAGCCCCGCUGCAGCAUGCCUUGGGUGCGCUGUCACUGAGACCAGGGUGUUCCUGGACUCCUCUACAAGUUCAUUCUGGCGUCCCUCCCUGCUUCCCCCCAGAGACUCGAAUCAGAACAUUUCCGAAGCUUUAUUAAUUUCCAAGGGAAAAGAUUUCUCACAUCAGGGGGGAAAGGAGGUUGUGACUCAGCAGCGGACUUGUUGAGGCUUGCAAAAUGGAAGAGAAAAGAGCUUUCCAUGUCAAGCUCUGAGGAGCGCUGGAAGGGGACUUAAUCCUGAGUAAUUCCUUUACGCAGGAACAUUUUACAUAGAGAAAAACAUACUUAACUGUAGGUCAAUAAUAACGGAUCCACACAACGCAAUAAAGAGAAAACCUGCAUACUGAAAGUAUAUAAAUAAAUGUCAAUGAGGCUUGCGCUUGUCAUCCCAGGAGGAUGGAGCAGAAGGAUUGCUGAGAGGUCAAGGUCACGUUCCAUCACUGAGGGAAGUCAGAGCAGGAAUUCGAAGCAGUAACCUGGGAACAAGAACUGAAGUUAAGACCAUGGAAGAAUACUGCUUGCUGUCUUACUCCUUCUGACCUUCUCUGUUU